This 31-nucleotide non-coding RNA is filed under the name Homo sapiens (human). The record is from RNAcentral. Lineage: Eukaryota; Metazoa; Chordata; Mammalia; Primates; Hominidae.
UGGCUCAGGAGCCCCACUGUGGGGUAAGUGU